This 298-nucleotide ribosomal RNA is filed under the name uncultured microorganism. RNAcentral describes it as "partial 16S ribosomal RNA". It matches the Rfam family "Bacterial small subunit ribosomal RNA", at positions 505 to 796 of the family's 1533-position model. The record is from RNAcentral.
GUGCCAGCAGCCGUCGGUAAUACGUAGGUGGUCAAGCGGUUAUCCGGAAUUAUUGGGCGUAAAGCGCGCGGCAGGUGGUUUCUUAAGUCUGAUGUGAAAGCCCACGGCUCAACCGUGGAGGGUCAUUGGAAACUGGGAGACUUGAGUGCAGAAGAGGAAAGUGGAAUUCCAUGUGUAGCGGUUGAAAUGCGUAGAGAUAUGGAGGAACACCAGUGGCGAAGGUCGACUUUCUGGUCUGUAACUGACACUGAGGCGCGAAAGCGUGGGGAGCAAACAGGAUUAGAUACCCUGGUAGUCC